Molecule: non-coding RNA, 87 nt
Organism: Candidatus Kaiserbacteria bacterium
Lineage: Bacteria; Candidatus Kaiseribacteriota
Source: Rfam
GGAGGGUUCGCAUAGCGGUCUAGUGCACCGCCUUGGAAAGGCGGCAGGCCCGAAAGGGCCUCGAGAGUUCGAAUCUCUCACCCUCCG